Molecule: ribosomal RNA, 253 nt
Filed under: uncultured bacterium
Lineage: Bacteria
Description: partial 16S ribosomal RNA
Rfam family: Bacterial small subunit ribosomal RNA
Source: RNAcentral
UACGUAGGAGGCAAGCGUUGUCCGGAUUUAUUGGGCGUAAAGAGCGCGCAGGCGGCACACCAAGUACGAAGUGAAAUCUCCCUGCUCAACGGGGAGGGUGCUUUGUAAACUGGUGAGCUAGAGGACGGUAGAGGGGGGUAGAAUUUCCGGUGUAGCGGUGAAAUGCGUAGAUAUCGGAAGGAACACCUGUGGCGAAAGCGGCUCACUGGACCAUAACUGACGCUGAGGCGCGAAAGCUAGGGGAGCAAACAGG